This 225-nucleotide long non-coding RNA is filed under the name Monodelphis domestica (gray short-tailed opossum). RNAcentral describes it as "lncRNA (ENSMODG00000047938.1)". The record is from RNAcentral. Lineage: Eukaryota; Metazoa; Chordata; Mammalia; Didelphimorphia; Didelphidae.
GGCAGGAGCAACAGCUAGUGUCCCAGGACUUUUCUUCAGAUAAGGAGGAGGCAAAGGAGGAUUUCUCCACUUCAUUCAACAAGAAAAGAUGCCCUGGGUUCAACUGAGACAGGCAAGGGAAGAACUGGAAUGAAGGUCAGGCUUGUACAGGACUCAAGUUGAUCAAGUCCGUGGCCCUGUGGCCGUGGAAGCCCAGCUCCUGACAUACUUUGGGAAAGUGCUAGU